UUUUUCGUCAUAACUUAUGUAUGUUUUUACGUUAAUAUAAUUUGAAUUUGUGUUAUUGUUCAUGUCCCAGGAUGUUGCAUCACCAUCUAAUGAAGGCAGAAUUGAAUUGUUGGAGGAGGUUGAAUUGAAAGAUGAUGUUUGGGAGAAAGUUGUGGAAGUCACGGCUGCAAUUGAAGCUGAAACUGAAAUUGAAGAGGGAAAUG
RNAcentral lists this long non-coding RNA (203 nucleotides) under Olea europaea (common olive). RNAcentral describes it as "long non-coding RNA (OEUR_LNC012879)". Lineage: Eukaryota; Viridiplantae; Streptophyta; Magnoliopsida; Lamiales; Oleaceae. The record is from RNAcentral.